UUAUAUUGCUUUAUUUUUUAUUUUGUAUUUAUAUAUUGGAAAUAACUUUUUUAUUAGUAAUUUUUAUUGAAAUUAUUAUUUUAGCAAUAGUUUAUUUUACUGUGAAGGAGUUUUAUGAAUUAUAUAUAAGCAGAUUUAUUUUAUUGUACCUUUUGUAUCAGGGUUUAUCAAUUUAAAAUUAAUUAUAUUAAUUUUCCCGAAAUUAAAAGAGAUAUAUUUAAAUGAUAGUUUACGUGUUAAAGUAAUUUUUAAUUUAAAUAUAGAGGUUAUAUGCUAUUCAAUUUUAAAUAUCUGGUUUUCUAAUAAAUUAAUUCAAUUAAUGAUGUUAUUAGUUAAUUUAUAAUUUAAUUUUAUUUAAU
RNAcentral lists this ribosomal RNA (359 nucleotides) under Cebrenis supina. Its description in RNAcentral is "partial large subunit ribosomal RNA". Lineage: Eukaryota; Metazoa; Arthropoda; Insecta; Hemiptera; Coreidae. The record is from RNAcentral.